Molecule: ribosomal RNA, 492 nt
Filed under: uncultured bacterium
Lineage: Bacteria
Description: partial 16S ribosomal RNA
Rfam family: Bacterial small subunit ribosomal RNA
Source: RNAcentral
AGUGAACGCUGGCGGUAGGCCUAACACAUGCAAGUCGAACGGCAGCACAGUAAGAGCUUGCUCUUACGGGUGGCGAGUGGCGGACGGGUGAGGAAUACAUCGGAAUCUACUUUUUCGUGGGGGAUAACGUAGGGAAACUUACGCUAAUACCGCAUACGACCUACGGGUGAAAGCAGGGGAUCUUCGGACCUUGCGCGAUUGAAUGAGCCGAUGUCGGAUUAGCUAGUUGGCGGGGUAAAGGCCCACCAAGGCGACGAUCCGUAGCUGGUCUGAGAGGAUGAACAGCCAACCUGGGAAUGGGACAAGGCCCAGGCUCCCACGGGAGGCAGCAGGGGGGAAUUUUGGAAAAGGGGCGAAAGCCUGAACCAGCCAUGCCGGGUGGGUGAAGAAGGCCUUUGGGUUUGAAAGCCCUUUUUUUGGGAAAGAAAAACCAGGAGUUAAAACCCCCGUGGUUUGGCGGUACCCAAAAAAAAAACCCCGGCUAACUUCGUU